GGUAAACGGCGGCCGUAACUAUAACGGUCCUAAGGUAGCGAAAUUCCUUGUCGGGUAAGUUCCGACCUGCACGAAUGGCGUAAUGAUGGCCAGGCUGUCUCCACCCGAGACUCAGUGAAAUUGAACUCGCUGUGAAGAUGCAGUGUACCCGCGGCAAGACGGAAAGACCCCGUGAACCUUUACUAUAGCUUGACACUGAACAUUGAGCCUUGAUGUGUAGGAUAGGUGGGAGGCUUUGAAGUGUGGACGCCAGUCUGCAUGGAGCCGACCUUGAAAUACCACCCUUUAAUGUUUGAUGUUCUAACGUGGACCCGUUACCCGGGUUGCGGACAGUGUCUGGUGGGUAGUUUGACUGGGGCGGUCUCCUCCUAAAGAGUAACGGAGGAGCACGAAGGUUGGCUAAUCCUGGUCGGACAUCAGGAGGUUAGUGCAAUGGCAUAAGCCAGCUUGACUGCGAGCGUGACGGCGCGAGCAGGUGCGAAAGCAGGUCAUAGUGAUCCGGUGGUUCUGAAUGGAAGGGCCAUCGCUCAACGGAUAAAAGGUACUCCGGGGAUAACAGGCUGAUACCGCCCAAGAGUUCAUAUCGACGGCGGUGUUUGGCACCUCGAUGUCGGCUCAUCACAUCCUGGGGCUGAAGUAGGUCCCAAGGGUAUGGCUGUUCGCCAUUUAAAGUGGUACGCGAGCUGGGUUUAGAACGUCGUGAGACAGUUCGGUCCCUAUCUGCCGUGGGCGCUGGAGAACUGAGGGGGGCUGCUCCUAGUACGAGAGGACCGGAGUGGACGCAUCACUGGUGUUCGGGUUGUCAUGCCAAUGGCACUGCCCGGUAGCUAAAUGCGGAAGAGAUAAGUGCUGAAAGCAUCUAAGCACGAAACUUGCCCCGAGAUGAGUUCUCCCUGAGACUUUAGGUCUCCUGAAGGAACGUUGAAGACGACGACGUUGAUAGGCCGGGUGUGUAAGCGCAGCGAUGCGUUGAGCUAACCGGUACUAAUGAACCGUGAGGCUUAACCUUACAACGCCG
RNAcentral lists this ribosomal RNA (1018 nucleotides) under Salmonella enterica. Its description in RNAcentral is "bacterial LSU rRNA". It matches the Rfam family "Bacterial large subunit ribosomal RNA", at positions 1922 to 2925 of the family's 2925-position model. The record is from RNAcentral. Lineage: Bacteria; Pseudomonadati; Pseudomonadota; Gammaproteobacteria; Enterobacterales; Enterobacteriaceae.